GGAAUGUGACUCUGUGGUAGAGCAUGUGCCUAACAUGUACAAGGCCCUGGGUUCCAUUCCCAGCACCA
Non-coding RNA from Ictidomys tridecemlineatus (thirteen-lined ground squirrel), 68 nucleotides. Lineage: Eukaryota; Metazoa; Chordata; Mammalia; Rodentia; Sciuridae. The record is from Rfam.